GACGGAGGAUGCAAGCGUUAUCCGGAAUUAUUGGGCGUAAAGCGUCCGCAGGUGGCUGUUCAAGUCUGCUGUCAAAGCGCAGAGCUUAACUCUGUACAGGCGGUGGAAACUGAAGAGCUAGAGUAUGGUAGGGGUAGAGGGAAUUCCCGGUGUAGCGGUGAAAUGCGUAGAUAUCGGGAAGAACACCAGUGGCGAAAGCGCUCUACUGGGCCAUAACUGACACUGAGGCACGAAAGCUAGGGGAGCAAACAGG
Molecule: ribosomal RNA, 253 nt
Filed under: uncultured bacterium
Lineage: Bacteria
Description: partial 16S ribosomal RNA
Rfam family: Bacterial small subunit ribosomal RNA
Source: RNAcentral